UCAUGUUGAUGUUAAGAUGUGAGACAAGAACUGGUUCUCUCAAGUCAAGUGUUUGUGACAGAACAAGUCCUCAACUCAUUUUGUAAGCAUUUGAUCUACUCUGAAGACACAAUAUGAUCUCCAUUACUGCUGAAAAACUACAUUUUGUUUUUUAUUUGUCAAUAGGUCUACUGAGUCUACCACUGCUUACAGAAUGUGACAAAAUUAGACUGGUCGGCGGGCCUUCCAAUUGCUCUGGUAGACUUGAGGUCUACCACAGUGAUAGUUGGGGAACAGUGUGUGAUGAUCACUGGAGCAUUGCCAACGCUGAGGUGGUGUGUCGAGAGCUAAACUGUGG
This is a long non-coding RNA of Perca fluviatilis (European perch), 337 nucleotides long. RefSeq lists it as uncharacterized. The record is from RefSeq and is a predicted model, not a curated record. The transcript is spliced from 4 exons. NCBI's taxonomy places the organism in Eukaryota, Metazoa, Chordata, Actinopteri, Perciformes, Percidae.